AACAAAAUAUCCUCAGUUUAUUCAGAUUUUUAUUUUUUUACAAUUGUUAAUGAAGCAAAAUUCUAAUUUGAAAGAAUGGGAAAAAACUCCUAUCCCUCUCUCCUUGGACGGAAAAACCCCAAGGCGGCAAUUCCCAACAUCAUUUUUAUGGGAUGACCGAAUCGUAAAACUAUGAUAGUUUCCGUGUGUGCUUUCUCUCUGGCUGCAUUCGAUUUCUCUCGUUUUUGAACUCGGGACAUCUCUGGUGUAAUCCAAGUUGUUACGUUAACUUCAAAGUCCGAUAACUCGAAUUUUUUUAUCACCAAAAAACUCUGCAUCGCCGAAAAAAUCAGGGUUUUUUUUCCAGGGGUAUAAUGAAUACAAAUAUAUGAUUGGUGUAAUCCGCAUCUGAGAAAUCAAAUCUGCUUUAUACAUGUAUUCAACAGUAGAUCCACCUCCACCUACUCCAUAUACUCGUAUGUACCGAACUUUUCUAUAUUCACCACAAGCCAGGUUAAAUUUUCCCUAUUUCUAGUGUCGUUUGUUCAGCCUCGUCCUGAUUUUCCUGACUGCCGGUUGAACCCUAAAAGAAAUGGCAUAUCUUCGAAUUUAUUAAUGACUGAAAUUAAAAUACAAUUAGGUAAUUACAACAAUUAAAUUUUAUCAUAACUUUAAAAACGGAUAAUUUGAACAUUUAUCAAUAGUUAUUAGAUUUGUUAUAUGGGACCGAAACGACUUGGGGUCGAAAUUGUUUGAUGCCGAAAAAAGCAAAUAUCAAAUGACGUGUAGGCUAUUGAACAGACGACAUUUUAGAAACAGGAUAGGGAAUGGACAAUUACUUAGAUAGUGUAAAUUGUACCUGUUUAAGAAAAGAACUAUGAAUCAAACCCGGGACCCGUGCAUAGUCAGACAAUUUACCACUGAGUCGAUAUCAUACGAAUGGUCCAUAACCCUGACCAUCACACAUGUAUCCAACAAUACAGGCACAGAUAUUGUUGAAUUGAACACAAGACAGCCAUCUAGAACUUGAAGCCACAACCAGUGAUAAAGAACAUAUAUAAGGUUUCGUCCUCAUUCAAGGUAGAAACAACUUGUCCAGUUAUGGAAAACCAUCAAAUAGUCAUGGUAUAGUUUCAUCCUCAUUCAAGGUAGUAACAACUUGUCCAGUUAUGGAAAACCAACAAAUAGUCGUGGUAUAGUAUGUACAUUUAUUCAAUUAUGAAACAUUAAUAAUUUAUACAGACAAUCAAUCAUUAUUAUACCCCUGCUCCGAAGGAAUAGGGGGUAUACUGUUUUACCCAUGUGUGUCUGUCUCUCCGUCUGUCUGUAACAAAACAAUUGUCACAUUUAUCUUAGCAACUAUUCAUUGCAGAUGCUUGAAAUUUUAACUGGUGGCCUCUUGUUAGGGUAAUUGCUGUGCAUGUUUAAUCCAUUAACAGUUAACUUCUUAUUGAAAACUACAAGGUAAAAGUUUACAUGUAAUGAACACUAAUUUAAACACAUAUCAGGUGAUGCAUUAAUAUUUAUUUGAAUAUGAUGUGCUCGCUUUUUAGGUUUUAUCCUCAUUCAAGGAAGUAACAACUGGUCCAGUUAUGGAAAAUCAACACAUAGUCUUGGUAUAAUCUAUAGAGUAUGGUUUUCACAGAUACAGUAGACAAGAGAAAGAAAAGAGGAGUUGUAUACGGUUAUGAUUUAAAGACCUAGACCCUCCAGACCAUGGACCCAGCAAGUACAACAUAUAAAGUACAUCAAUGCUCUAAGUGUCCGGGGGACACGGAGUACUAUUGUGAAUCAUGUCCAUGUGAUCUCUGUCAAAAGUGUAAAGAAAACCAUGUGAAAAACCUCCAAACAAUAGACCAUUAUGUUGUGUCACAUCAUGAGAAAUUCAACAACAUCCCAACACAAGAGAUUUGUGGGAGACAUCCUAGUAAUGUUUAUAGGACGUACUGUGAACAUUGUCAAGUUCCUGUGUGUAAUUCUUUGUUUAGACGUAAAUCUCACAGAUUCCCUGUUUAUCUCUUUCGACAAAGUAAGCACAAGAUUCUUAGCUUACAAGGAGCUUAUAAAACAAAGCAACAACAACACAGAGGAACCAUUCACACCAUCAGAAGUGAGGCUCUCUUUUACAGACCUGUUCUCCUGCCACGAAUCACAGAUGACAUCAAAACCUGUCGCACAGAAUUCUCCCGCUAUCAAUCAGAGAUGUUAACAAAGGCCCAGAGACUGAAGAAGCUCGUUAACUAUGUGGUAUAUGAUCUAUUGAACAAAGUGUUUUGUGACUUUGAUUUCAAACACAGAUGUUUAAAACAGAUGAUAGAAACAAACAGACAUAUUGUCAGCCUACAGAGAUAUGUACACAUGUAUGAACAGUCAACAUUCAGUGCACUACAAUUCCUCUCCUCCAUAAAGACAGCCCUCACCCAGAUACAUCUUACACUCCACACCAGCCAGCUCUCCAUGACUGAGUCACUCAACAAGGAGGACGUGAUGGAGUCACUGAGUGCAAUCCAAAUCACAGAGAGAGGAAACCGACGCGUAGGAAACCAGUGUCUGCUGAAACUGAUGUCUGGUGCUGAGUUCCAUCAAUCUCUCAGAGUGCCAGGUGUUGAUGGUUGUGUACACAUUUCCUGUGUGACAUCAGACCGGGUCUGGGUCAGUGAUGAUGAAUACAAUCUCAUGUUGACAGACACAACAGGUGUCCCUCUACAUCGUGUGGAGGAUUCAUAUAGAGAUAUAUAUGUUUGUAAUGGAUUACACACAGUGAACAGUGAGAGUGAACUGAUUUAUAUAGAUAGGAAAUAUAACAUCAACAAACUGUCAAAGGAUAUGAAAACAACCACCACAUUUAUAGAGAGAACAGACUCUACAUGGAGACCACGGUGUGUGUACUGGUCCCCGUCCACUGGGGAUCUACUGGUCGGGAUGUAUAACAAUGGUACAAAGACAGGCAAGGUAACCCGGUACAACCAGAGGGGACAACUCACACAAACCAUACAGAACAACAACACAGGACGGGAGCUGUAUAGAAUACCUUACUAUAUAACAGAGAACAACAAUGGGGAUGUCGUGGUGUCUGACUAUAGGUCUAUUAGGUCUGGUGCUGUAGUGGUGACAGAGCGUGGAGGAAGACAUCGUUUCUCCUACACAGGACAUCCAUCAAGAUUAGUACUAAAGCCACAUGGAAUCUGUACUGACCCGCUGUCACACAUCCUGGUGUGUGAUCGUACAACCAACACAGUACAGAUGAUAGACAGUGACGGUCAGUUCCUGUCACAUCUACUGAUAAGACCAUCAGGGAUAUUCACACCAUGCAGCCUGAGUUAUGAUGUCAACACUCACCGUCUCUGGGUCGGAUCAGGGGACAACAACACGGUGGUUAUAUACAGGUAUAUCACCAGACAGGACGCUCUGACAGACACUGCUGAUAAACUCCACAGCAGCCAGCUCUCCAUGACUGAGUCACUCAACAAGGAGGAUGUGAUGGAGUCACUGAGUGCAAUCCAAAUCACAGAGAGAGGAAACCGACGCGUAGGAAACCAGUGUCUGCUGAAACUGACGUCUGGUGCUGAGCUCCAUCAAUCUCUCACACUGACAGGUGUUGAUGGUUGUGAUCACAUUUCCUGUGUGACAUCAGACCGGGUCUGGGUCAGUGAUUAUAACAAUCUCAUGUUGACAGACACAACAGGUGUCCCUCUACAUCGUGUGGAGGAUUCAUGUCGUUAUUUAUAUAGAGGUAAUGGAUUACACACAGUGAACAGUGAGAGUGAACUGAUUUAUGUAGAUAGGAAAUAUAACAUCAAGAAACUGUCAAAGGAUAUGAAAACAACCACCACAUUUAUAGAGAGAACAGACUCUACACGGUGGCCACUGUGUGUGUACUGGUCCCCGUCCACUGGGGAUCUACUGGUCGGGAUGUAUAACAAUGAUACAAAGACAGGCAAGGUAACCCGGUACAACCAGAGUGGACAACUCACACAAACCAUACAGAACAACAACACAGGACUGGGUCUGUAUAGAGAACCUCGCUAUAUAACAGAGAACAACAAUGGGGAUGUUGUGGUGUCUGACUAUAUCAAUCUGUCUGGUGCUGUAGUGGUGACAGAGCGUGGAGGAAGACAUCGUUUCUCCUACACAGGACAUCCAUCAGGAUCAGAACUACUGCCAUGUGGAAUCUGUACUGACGCGCUGUCACACAUCCUGGUGUGUGAUUGGGUAACCGACACAGUACAGAUGAUAGACGAGGACGGUCAGUUCCUGUCACAUCUACUGACAAAAUCACAAGAGAUGGGUAGACCACGGAGCCUGAGUUAUGAUGUCAACACUCACCGUCUCUGGGUCGGAUCAGAGGACAACAACAAGGUGUGUGUCUACAGUUAUAUAGACACACAGGACGUUCUGACAGAUGAGGAAACACACCCCACUGAUGGGGAGGCCAAGUCUAGCUCCACUGAUGGGGACGCCAUGUUUAGGUUCAGUGAUGGGGAGGCCAUGCUAAGCUCAACAACAGCGGCAGAAUGGAGAUAGCUUGGAUAUUGACAGAUACCAGAAAACUACAUCAAGUAUCAGCGAGAAACAACUUAAUUCAUUUGACUGGUUCCCUAUAGACCGUGGACUGGUAGCCAUUGGUGUCAACAUGAUGAACUCGCCAUAAGCCUCUCUCCAACAGUGACUGUCAUGGGUUGGAUUGUCUAUCGACCCUUGAUGGGAAUGGACAUAUUAGCUAUGGACUUUCUUUAUUGUGGAAUUUACCUUAAGUGGGUGCAUUGACACAUAUCUCUCUUGUGCAUCAAGUACAUUUGAUAAAGAAUACAAACAGUGAAGUGAAUAACAUUUAUUCAAACGUCUGAAAGUGAGGAAGACCUUACAUCACUUGAAUUCGUUGAUAAAAGAUCAUAAAGGAGGACUAGUCACCGUUCGGAAUCUAUACACUAAAAUUGCGUGAUAACCCCGUUGGAGGUUAAUGUGAUCUCCUAAAACCAUGUGGACCACAAUUGAACAAACUUGACCCGAUAUAUUAUGAACCUAUCAUAAUAUUCCAUUAGAAAACAUUUAAAUAAUGAAGAAGUGACAAAUAACGAGCAUCCGGUGUGAAAAUAAGAAAUUACAUGAAAGUAACUAUACUGACCAAAGAAUUUAUGUUCAUAAUAUAGAUGAAGUUUUAUCAUGAAAAGUGUAUUUGCUUCACGGCUGAAUUGCCGAAAUUAUAUUAUUUUAUUGUUUAUAUAGGAAACAUGUACAUACAGUAAAUAUUCCGUCACUAACAAUAUGUUGUAGUGUUUCUACUGUAUACAGGGUUAUUUUCACUCAAUGUUUUUUUCAUCCGGUAAUUUGUUCGCUCUUCUACACUUGUAAAUAGUUUUGUCCUGUCUUGAUUUCCUUAAUAUUCUAUUGAAUCAAUGCAAUAUUUUAAAAAAAAAAAUUGUGUUGAAUUCACCCAGACAUGAAUUUGCCCUUUGACAACAAGGGCGAAAAGGGAAAAAUAUAUUCAAGGGGGACACUGAUUUACCUCUAUACAGUGUAUAUCACAGGUUAUGAAAUUUGUAGGUCAACUAAUUGUCAAAUAUGUUCUGUUUUCAUAUAUAUUUUAAGUUAACCAUGCUGAAUUUAUAAAUCAAACAAAUUAUUGAAGUAUUUGUAGUUUUUGCUCGAUAAUGCAUUACAAAACAGUCAAAAACUUAUUCUAAUAGAACUAGAUCGUUCUCAUGAUAAUUAGUUAUUAUUUCAAAUCACAAGUUUUACAAAUAGUUUUUUUCUGUUUCCACAUAUGAGAAGAUGUGCAAGUUUUCUGUAUAUUUUUUUAUAAUGGCACGGUACAUAAAAUCAAUAGCCGACCACUGAUCUAACCUCCUUUGUACAUAAUUAUUUUUUCUACUGUAUUUUUGAUUCAAUUGUUAAGAGUGUGUUUUUGAUGUUUUAAUUACUCAAGGUUUUCCUUCAGAAAUAAAGAAUGGCUUCUAUUGAU
Molecule: RNA transcript, 5941 nt
Organism: Magallana angulata
Lineage: Eukaryota; Metazoa; Mollusca; Bivalvia; Ostreida; Ostreidae
Exons: 11
Source: RefSeq, a predicted model, not a curated record